This 253-nucleotide ribosomal RNA is filed under the name Rhizobium sp. RNAcentral describes it as "partial 16S ribosomal RNA". It matches the Rfam family "Bacterial small subunit ribosomal RNA", at positions 524 to 776 of the family's 1533-position model. The record is from RNAcentral. Lineage: Bacteria; Pseudomonadati; Pseudomonadota; Alphaproteobacteria; Hyphomicrobiales; Rhizobiaceae. RNAcentral also lists the same sequence under 1 other name.
UACGAAGGGGGCUAGCGUUGUUCGGAAUUACUGGGCGUAAAGCGCACGUAGGCGGAUAUUUAAGUCAGGGGUGAAAUCCCGCAGCUCAACUGCGGAACUGCCUUUGAUACUGGGUAUCUUGAGUAUGGAAGAGGUGAGUGGAAUUCCGAGUGUAGAGGUGAAAUUCGUAGAUAUUCGGAGGAACACCAGUGGCGAAGGCGGCUCACUGGUCCAUUACUGACGCUGAGGUGCGAAAGCGUGGGGAGCAAACAGG